Vigna angularis (adzuki bean) is the source of this 880-nucleotide RNA transcript. It is a transcript of the gene named probable nucleolar protein 5-1, with no coding region annotated. Lineage: Eukaryota; Viridiplantae; Streptophyta; Magnoliopsida; Fabales; Fabaceae. The transcript has 2 exons. The record is from RefSeq and is a predicted model, not a curated record.
AAGAGGUUAAGGUAAUCCAAAAUUCUGAAUGAGUCUCUUAUAGUGGAUGCUCACCGGGUUUAUUUGAUUCUGCGAUCUGUUUGGUAUUCUAUUUUCUUGUAUAAAUUCCUGAUAAUUGAUGUUUAACUCAUCUAUCUGAUAAACUAAUUUGUUUUGCUGAUCCUUUUAGAAAAUCGACUGUAUUCACAACAAUGCAGUCAUGGAGUUGAUGAGCGGUGUCAAAAAUCAGUUAACUGAACUCAUACCUGGUCUAGCUGUUCAAGACAUGACUUCAAUGAGCCUGGGUUUAUCCCAUAGCUUAUCCAUAUACAAGUUGAAGUUUAACGCAGAUAAGUAGCCCAGCGAAAGGAAGAAAGGAAGGCUAAUUUACAAGUGAUUGUGUGCUUGUUUUUAAAUUUUGUAUUAAUAUCUUGUUUUAAAUUUUGUAUGAAUCUUGUUUUAUAGCCUUUUAUAAUAUAUAUUCUUUUAUUGUAUUCAGGCCCAGUUUUCUCAUAUGCAAAUUGCACCUUUCUCUGCUGACAUUAUUGGAUAUCAUCCAGCUUAUUUUGGUCUAGGAACACCUGGGUUUGUCUCACCUCAGGCAGCAGGCUAUGGUUUUCAACCUCAUGUCUGAUGCAACUUUUGUGAAUCAUAUCAUGUAAGGAAACUAACAUAGUUAGAAUAUGAGAAAAGUACACAUGUUCCUUUGGAUUUUUUCCCAGAAAUUGCCCAUAAUCGGCUACAUAUUUUACAUGUUCGAAUAAUUGAUACCAAAGUAGCAGUUUUAACAUUUCAUUGUAAACAGUUGGAGUUAGAAUACGAUGAAUCUUUGGCCUUCAGAUGUAGACUUAUAAACAAGACCGUGUCAAUUUAUUUUUGUUAUGGAAAUUUUUACCUUCGC